GACGAACGCUGGCGGCGUGCCUAAUACAUGCAAGUCGAGCGAAUGACGAGAAGCUUGCUUCUCUGAUUUAGCGGCGGACGGGUGAGUAACACGUGGGCAACCUGCCCUACAGAUUGGGAUAACUCAGGGAAACCUGGGCUAAUACCGGAUAAUCCUUCGAAUCACAUGUUUUGAAGUUGAAAGGCGCUUCGGCGUCACUGUAGGAUGGGCCCGCGGUGCAUUAGCUAGUUGGUGGGGUAACGGCCUACCAAGGCAACGAUGCAUAGCCGACCUGAGAGGGUGAUCGGCCACAGUGGGACUGAGACACGGCCCAAACUCCUACGGGAGGCAGCAGUAGGGAAUCUUCCACAAUGGACGAAAGUCUGAUGGAGCAACGCCGCGUGAGUGAUGAAGGUUUUCGGAUCGUAAAACUCUGUUGUAAGGGAAGAACAAGUACGUUAGGAAAUGAACGUACCUUGACGGUACCUUAUUAGAAAGCCACGGCUAACUACGUGCCAGCCGCCGCGGUAA
This 510-nucleotide ribosomal RNA is filed under the name uncultured bacterium. Its description in RNAcentral is "partial 16S ribosomal RNA". It matches the Rfam family "Bacterial small subunit ribosomal RNA", at positions 28 to 523 of the family's 1533-position model. The record is from RNAcentral.